RNAcentral lists this ribosomal RNA (180 nucleotides) under uncultured Glomeromycotina. RNAcentral's name for it is "partial small subunit ribosomal RNA". It matches the Rfam family "Eukaryotic small subunit ribosomal RNA", at positions 653 to 827 of the family's 1831-position model. The record is from RNAcentral. Lineage: Eukaryota; Fungi; Glomeromycota.
GGAUCAAUUGAUUGGUCAUGCCUUGGUAUGUACUGGUCAUAUUGGUUCUCACCUUCUAAUGAACCAUAAUGUCAUUUAUUUGAUGUUAUGGGGAAUUAGGACUGUUACCUUGAAAAAAUUAGAGUGUUCAAAGCAGGCAAUCGAGCCUUGAAUACUUCAGCAUGGGAUAAUGGAACAGGA